Molecule: non-coding RNA, 320 nt
Organism: Maylandia zebra (zebra mbuna)
Lineage: Eukaryota; Metazoa; Chordata; Actinopteri; Cichliformes; Cichlidae
Source: RefSeq, a predicted model, not a curated record
AAAGGAGGACGUAUUCCUAUGGAGCUGUGAGAGGACGUGCUGGAAAAGAGAGGACGUGCUGGAAAAAAAGGGACGUGUUGGAAAAGAGGAAAACGAGCACUAGACUGGAGACCUCCUGCGCCCCGAUAAGAAGAACUGGACCAGCUCGGGGAAGUUUAACUGCCGGGAGGUAAUGUGGAGACCCAGCCUCGAACAAAGUUAAAGCCUGAAAAGGCGAAGAACUCGGACCGCGGUGGUCUUUGGGCUUUGGAUCCCUGGCCGGGGUUGUCUUCAGCCGGUAGUUUGCCUAGAGGAAGAACAAAUAAAUUUUGUGUAACCCA